Molecule: ribosomal RNA, 261 nt
Filed under: uncultured archaeon
Lineage: Archaea
Description: partial 16S ribosomal RNA
Rfam family: Archaeal small subunit ribosomal RNA
Source: RNAcentral
AGGGUGUAAACGCUGCAGACUUGGUGUUGGAGGCCCUUUGGGGGCAUUCAGUGCCGGAGAGAAGUUGUUAAGUCUGCUACUUGGGGAGUACGUCCGCAAGGAUGAAACUUAAAGGAAUUGGCGGGGGAGCACCGCAACGGGAGGAGCGUGCGGUUUAAUUGGAUUCAACACCGUAAAACUCACCAGGGAAGACUGUUACAUGAAGGCCGAGAUGAAGACUCUGCUAGGUUUUCAGAGAGGUGGUGCAUGGCGUCAGUGACU